CCUACGGGGGGCUGCAGUGGGGAAUAUUGGACAAUGGGGGGAACCCUGAUCCAGCCAUGCCGCGUGUGUGAAGAAGGCCCUCGGGUUGUAAAGCACUUUCAGUGAGGAAGAACGCCUGGUGGUUAAUACCCAUCAGGAAAGACAUCACUCACAGAAGAAGCACCGGCUAACUCCGUGCCAGCAGCCGCGGUAAUACGGAGGGUGCGAGCGUUAAUCGGAAUUACUGGGCGUAAAGCGCGCGUAGGUGGCUUGAUAAGCCGGUUGUGAAAGCCCCGGGCUCAACCUGGGAACGGCAUCCGGAACUGUCAAGCUAGAGUGCAGGAGAGGAAGGUAGAAUUCCCGGUGUAGCGGUGAAAUGCGUAGAGAUCGGGAGGAAUACCAGUGGCGAAGGCGGCCUUCUGGACUGACACUGACACUGAGGUGCGAAAGCGUGGGUAGCAAACAGGAUUAGAUACCCCUGUAGCC
RNAcentral lists this ribosomal RNA (465 nucleotides) under Vreelandella stevensii. Its description in RNAcentral is "partial 16S ribosomal RNA". It matches the Rfam family "Bacterial small subunit ribosomal RNA", at positions 338 to 795 of the family's 1533-position model. The record is from RNAcentral. Lineage: Bacteria; Pseudomonadati; Pseudomonadota; Gammaproteobacteria; Oceanospirillales; Halomonadaceae.